RNAcentral lists this ribosomal RNA (497 nucleotides) under uncultured bacterium. RNAcentral describes it as "partial 16S ribosomal RNA". It matches the Rfam family "Bacterial small subunit ribosomal RNA", at positions 28 to 507 of the family's 1533-position model. The record is from RNAcentral.
GAUGAACGCUGGCGGCGUGCCUAACACAUGCAAGUCGAACGGACGGACGGGGCUGUUUCUUCUCUUAUGUGAGCGGCGGGAGGGUGAGACACACGUGUAUGUCACCCCUAUUUUUCUGGGAUAUCUGCGUGAGACAGGGUAUUAUAUACGAUAUGUUUUUUAUCCCCCGGGUGCGGUGGGUAGGAACGGUUUUGGUGUGACUUGGGUGUGCUUCCGCGCUGCAUUCGCUAGUUUGUAGGGUAGCGGCUUACCAAGGCUACGAUGCAUAGCCGACCUGAGAGGGUGAGCGGCCACACUGGAACUGAGACACGGUCCAGACUCCUACGGGAGGCAGCAGUAGGGAAUCUUGGGCAAUGGGCGAAAGCCUGACGGAGCAACGCCGCGUGAGUGAGGAAGGUCUUCGGAUCGUAAAGCGCUGUUAUUAGGGAAGAACAUAUGUGUAAGUAACUGUGGACAUCUUGACGGUACCGAAUCAAAAAGCCCCGGCUAACUACGUG